This 62-nucleotide microRNA precursor is filed under the name Monopterus albus (swamp eel). RNAcentral's name for it is "Mal-Mir-27-P2a_pre stem-loop". The record is from RNAcentral. Lineage: Eukaryota; Metazoa; Chordata; Actinopteri; Synbranchiformes; Synbranchidae.
AGAGCUUAGUUAGCUGCUGAACAGGGAGUCUUAGCGAUUUGUUCACAGUGGCUAAGUUCUUC